Molecule: non-coding RNA, 643 nt
Organism: Pseudonaja textilis
Lineage: Eukaryota; Metazoa; Chordata; Lepidosauria; Squamata; Elapidae
Source: the annotation of a RefSeq genome assembly
AGGAAACCCAGCAGCUUUUGAUCUCUUCCCAGCUGCUGCAGUUGCAUCCCAGGCUGAGAUGGCUGUAGCACCAACCCACUCCUGCUCUGGGCUCCCUGGACUCUGCUUCUCCCGUGUCCUCCUUGCCUUCUGGUGCACCUUUGUGGGCAGCGGCUCUGCCGUGACAGUGACCCAAACUCCAAGCUUUGUCAGUGACUCGACAGGGAAAAAUAUUUCCUUCAGGUGCUCUGUGGAUGAUACAAGCUACAGGAUUUUUUUGUAUCGCCAAUUGCCUGGGAAAACAGAACUGAAAGUCCUUGCAUACCUCUCCACUGCUAGUUCAGAACUUGAAGAUAUUCCAUCUGAACUGAAGGAUCGGCUGAAAGGAAAGGGUUCGAAGUCUGACAACUUGCGGAAAAUGAGUUUGGAUUUGUUUAAACUUCAGGCGAAUGACACAGGCUUGUAUCUGUGUGCUGCGGUGUACACAGUGAAAGAGAAAGGAACAGUGGCAGGUGCAAAACUGAGUAUCAGGAACAAAUCUGCCCUCUACUCUUUUCUACUCAUAUCCAUCUUUUACUGACAUCCAUGGGUAACCCUGUUCUACAUCCUAGGGGGGUCUCAUAUUUCAAACAGCCUUUGGCCAAUUUAUGCCUUUUAGAUACCC